UACAGAGGUGGCAAGCGUUGUUCGGAAUUACUGGGCGUAAAGGGCGCGUAGGCGGCCCUCUCAGUCAGACGUGAAAUCCCCAGGCUCAACUUGGGAACUGCGUCUGAUACUGGAGGGCUCGAGUGCGGGAGAGGGAUGUGGAAUUCCAGGUGUAGCGGUGAAAUGCGUAGAUAUCUGGAGGAACACCGGUGGCGAAGGCGGCAUCCUGGACCGACACUGACGCUGAGGCGCGAAAGCCAGGGGAGCAAACGGG
RNAcentral lists this ribosomal RNA (253 nucleotides) under uncultured bacterium. RNAcentral describes it as "partial 16S ribosomal RNA". It matches the Rfam family "Bacterial small subunit ribosomal RNA", at positions 524 to 776 of the family's 1533-position model. The record is from RNAcentral.